ACUAGACAACAAUGAAAAAUCAGAAAGGAAGCUGGAGGAAGCUUAAGAAGACAUACCAAGACUGUUGCCUUACCCCCCUUUUAUAGUAGAAUGCGGUAUGGUCCCGCCAUUAAUGGUGCAGACAACUGGAGAGUUGUCAUAUCGUCGGGAGCUGUCAAAUUAUCGUGGGCUGUCAAAUCACCGCGGGUUGUCAUGAUCAACCCAUGUCAUUGGCAGGACAAUGCCCC
Molecule: long non-coding RNA, 227 nt
Filed under: Elaeis guineensis (African oil palm)
Lineage: Eukaryota; Viridiplantae; Streptophyta; Magnoliopsida; Arecales; Arecaceae
Description: long non-coding RNA (EGUI_LNC025047)
Source: RNAcentral